This 578-nucleotide ribosomal RNA is filed under the name uncultured bacterium. RNAcentral's name for it is "bacterial SSU rRNA". It matches the Rfam family "Bacterial small subunit ribosomal RNA", at positions 338 to 916 of the family's 1533-position model. The record is from RNAcentral.
CCUACGGGAGGCAGCAGUGAGGAAUAUUGGUCAAUGGGCGCAAGCCUGAACCAGCCAAGCCGCGUGAAGGAUGAAGGCCCUAUGGGUUGUAAACUUCUUUUAUACGGGAAGAACCCUCCGACUUGUCGGAGACUGACGGUACCGUACGAAUAAGCAUCGGCUAACUCCGUGCCAGCAGCCGCGGUAAUACGGAGGAUGCAAGCGUUAUCCGGAUUAUUAGGUAUAAAGGGUGCGUAGGCGGACCUGUUAGUCAGUGGUGAAGUACUACGGCUUAACCGUAGAACUGCCAUUGAUACUGCAGGUCUUGAGUACAGUUGAGGUAGGCGGAAUGUGUGGUGUAGCGGUGAAAUGCUUAGAUAUCACACAGAACACCGAUUGCGAAGGCAGCUUACUAAGUUGUAACUGACGCUGAUGCACGAAAGCAUGGGGAGCAAACAGGAUUAGAUACCCUGGUAGUCCAUGCCGUAAACGAUGAUCACUCGCUGUACGUCCAUUAGGAUGUGUGGCUUGAGCUAACGCAUUAAGUUGAUCCACCUGGGGAGUACAGCGGCAACGCUGAAACUCAAAGGAAUAGACGG